CACCUUCGUGACCCAGAGUCUACUACAGCACUGGGGAGCCAGUUUUAGGAGAGGCACCAGCUUUGACUCUUGGAGCUAGCUGGUGGAAGUGAUAGAUGAGUAUCUGAUAUUAGCAAGACUUCUACAAAAAGAGGCCCAAGCUCAACGCGAGAAUUCACAGAAUAACAAAAGAAACCCACAGGCAAUGUUGCAACACGCUUGGAAUUGUGAAGUGCAGCUUUACAUUCCACACAGUUUCAAGAAGAACUGAAAUCGGAGGACCUGAAGAAACUGUAACUAAUCCUAAAGAAUAUUUUUACAUAUAAUAAAGAAUUUCCAUUUGACGUUCAGCCUGUCCCCUUAAAAAGAACUUUAGUACCUGAUGAAAAACAGUAUUUGGAAUUUGAAGAAGAUGAAGAACAGGGUGGUGCUGGAGCAGGGUCUCCCGAUUCUUUUCCCGCUAGAGUUCCUGGUACGCUACUACUUGUAUUAACUUUAUUACCAAAGUUGCUAUCAGAACCAAGAGCGGUGUUACUCACUACUAGAACUGAGAACAUUGGUCUGAAAUAUGCUAAGCAGCACAUAUCACUACUUUAUUACCAAAGUUGUUGUCAGAAUCAGGAGUGGUGUUACUCACUACUAGAAUUGAGAAAAUUCGCCUGAAAUAUGCUAUAUUACAGUUAGUAUCAAGGAGCUGAAUGACAUAGAUUUAAGUACUGUGCAAGAUACUCCUGUGGCUUUAAGAAAAGAAGAUACAUAUGUUCAUUUUAAUGUGAACAUUGAGCUACAGAAGUAUAUUAAAAAAUUAACCAAAGGUGAGGCUCUCUUCCUUAAAUUCAAAGACUACAAGCCUACAAAAAUGUUUAUCAGCACUUCAUGGAGAUGGAUGAAAUUAAACCUUGGCCGCUUGUAAUAGAACUGUACAAAAAACCUACUGACUUUAAAAAAUGAAAUUGCAAUUACAGACCAAGAAACCAUUUGAUCUUCAUUUAUUAAUACAUCAAACUUUGCACAAGGA
RNAcentral lists this long non-coding RNA (997 nucleotides) under Homo sapiens (human). Its description in RNAcentral is "non-protein coding lnc-METTL4-6:1". Lineage: Eukaryota; Metazoa; Chordata; Mammalia; Primates; Hominidae. The record is from RNAcentral.